Molecule: ribosomal RNA, 253 nt
Filed under: uncultured bacterium
Lineage: Bacteria
Description: partial 16S ribosomal RNA
Rfam family: Bacterial small subunit ribosomal RNA
Source: RNAcentral
UACGUAGGGUGCGAGCGUUAAUCGGAAUUACUGGGCGUAAAGCGUGCGCAGGCGGUUCGUUAAGUUCGUCGUGAAAGCCCCGGGCUCAACCUGGGAACUGCGAUGGAAACUGGUGGGCUUGAGUGUGGCAGAGGGGGGUGGAAUUCCGCGUGUAGCAGUGAAAUGCGUAGAGAUGCGGAGGAACACCGAUGGCGAAGGCAGCCCCCUGGGCCAACACUGACGCUCAGGCACGAAAGCGUGGGGAGCAAACAGG